This 98-nucleotide ribosomal RNA is filed under the name Ochotona princeps (American pika). The record is from RNAcentral. Lineage: Eukaryota; Metazoa; Chordata; Mammalia; Lagomorpha; Ochotonidae.
GUCUACGGCCAUACCACCCUGAACGUGCCCAAUCUCGUCUGAUCUUGGAAGCUCAGCAGGGUCGGGCCUGGUUAGUACUCGGAUGGGAGACGUAUGAU